AACUUUUAGCAAUGGAUCUCUUGGCUCUUGCAACGAUGAAGAACGCAGUGAAAUGCGAAAAGUAAUGCGAUUUGCACGAAUCUGUGAGUCAUCAAGUCUUUGAACGCACCUUGCACCAUAUGAGCAAUCGUAUGGUAUACCUGUUUGAGAAUCGUAAAAACCCAUCCUACCGAUUAGGUAGGGACUUGUCGACUGAGUGCGUCUUGUGCGCAUCCAUCGAUUAAAAGUAGUAGGUCUAGUCAGGCUGGUGGCCUGGGGCAUUGUGUGCUAGAGACGUCGCUUCGGCUGACUGUCUUCUCACAGUGCGUCCCUUGCUAUACAAGCUAGUCUGGUCUUGGCCUUUACAGUCAUCGUAAGGUGACAACCCCCCUUUUUGAUCUCAAAUCAGGUAAGGCUACCCGCUGAACUUAAGCAUAUCAAUAAGCGGAGGCU
This 432-nucleotide unclassified non-coding RNA is filed under the name uncultured Basidiomycota. Its description in RNAcentral is "sequence contains ITS2". The stretch from base 1 to 154 matches the Rfam family "5.8S ribosomal RNA". Lineage: Eukaryota; Fungi; Basidiomycota. The record is from RNAcentral.